RNAcentral lists this ribosomal RNA (632 nucleotides) under uncultured fungus. Its description in RNAcentral is "eukaryotic LSU rRNA". The stretch from base 215 to 369 matches the Rfam family "5.8S ribosomal RNA". Lineage: Eukaryota; Fungi. The record is from RNAcentral.
AGGAUCAUUACCGAACCGUCGACACGAAGCUGUUGCUGGCCCUCGGAUGGGGGCAUGUGCACGCUCUGUUUACACAUCCACUCACACCUGUGCACUCUCUGUGGUUCUAUGGUUUGGGGGCUCGGCCCUCCCACCGUGGGUUCCAUGCAUUUACUACACACACACCGUAACAAAGUCUUAUGGAACGUAUUUCGCGUUUAACGCAAUGCAAUACAACUUUCAGCAACGGAUCUCUUGGCUCUCGCAUCGAUGAAGAACGCAGCGAAAUGCGAUAAGUAAUGUGAAUUGCAGAAUUCAGUGAAUCAUCGAAUCUUUGAACGCACCUUGCGCCCUUUGGCCAUUCCGAAGGGCAUGCCUGUUUGAGUAUCAUAAACGCCUCAACUCCUCACGGCUUGCCGUGAUGAGCUUGGACUUUGGGGGACUUGCUGGCCUGCGGUCGGCUCCUCUCAAAUGAAUCAGCUUGCCAGUGUUUGGUGGCACCAUAGGUGUGAUAAACAUCUGCUCUUGUGGUCCUCCACCAUAUAACCUUCGGCGAUAUGGAGGUUUGCUGGAGCUCACAAAUGUCUUUCCUCGGUGAAGACGGCUCUCGAUUGUUUGGUCUCAAAUCAGGUAGGACUACCCGCUGAACUUAA